This 3061-nucleotide long non-coding RNA is filed under the name Sus scrofa (pig). RNAcentral describes it as "lncRNA (ENSSSCG00000060224.1)". Lineage: Eukaryota; Metazoa; Chordata; Mammalia; Artiodactyla; Suidae. The record is from RNAcentral.
UUGCAGGAGAUCCGCGUCUGUAUUACCCAGGAUGUGGCUCCUUUCCUGUGAUGCCCUGUCUGGUAUCAGAGGGAUGUUAGCCUUGAGAAAGGGUUCUUCAGUUCUCUUGGAAUUUCUGCACGAGUUUGCGUGGAGCUGGCAUCAUCUCUUUAAAUGUCUGCUGGAAUUUCUCGUGACGCCAUCUGGGUAUGCCGUUCUCCUUCUUGGAGGGUUUUCAGCUUAGAGUCCUUUCUCUAAUGUCUCCAGGGUCGUGUCUGCGGGUGCCGGUCACCCUCGUCUUUCUCUGAGAAGGACACGAGUCACGAGAUGUAAGGCUGCUUUCGAUACAGGACAACUCACUUGAGGUCUGACUUUAAUUACCUCGGCAAAGGCAGUUUCCCAGUAAGUUCACGCAGUUUCCACAGGUCCUGGGGGCGGGACUUGGACAUGUCUUUUUGUGGGGACAUAGUCCAGCCCACUGCAGCCAGCUAAUCUGGGCAACUUGGGCAAAAUCCACGAAUAGGUGCGGAAGGUAAGAUACAGCCGUGUUGCCUCCAUGUGGCCUCUCUGGCCGCCCCUCCAUCACCCCGUCCUGGUCAGGGCUCAGGGCUCCCUGCCUGCUGGGCUGGGGGUUAUCACCUCCGUGGCAGCGGCUCCGACAAACCCAGGUCCCAAAGGAUGGCGAGGAAGCCACGCCUCCAGUGCUGGGAGGCUCCCCUCGGGUCCCAGAGUCCCUGCGCCUGGGCGGGCAAGUUCCCCGCUCUCCUUCUCAUAUUCGCCUGGUGUUAUAGGGAAGUUUGCCGUAGGCUUCUCACCAUGAAAUGCCCGGGAACCAGUUCUCUGCAGAGAUGCUCGUGGUGAGCCGUGGGGCAGGGGCUGCCGGCCGGUUCUUCCAGGACCCCAGCCCGGGCCCAGUGGGGGGACAGCGGCCCAAGUGGCAGAGGGGACGGCGGUGAAGGCGUUUCUAGGCUGUGAAGUGUCGCCGAAAGCCACUUUGUGCUUAUCCAACCCGUCCAAGUCCAAGGCUGAUAAAUGCCGGCCGGUCGCGACGGCUCGCACACAUCCUGCCUUGUCCAGUGAGCUGGGAGGAGUCCUUGCCCCUGCGCUCAGCUGAGCGUCGCGGUCCACAGUCCAGGACAGAAACACAGUCCAGGACACAGGGCCCUUACCUUGGUGGCUCCUUAGGGAAGUCACGGCUCUCUGGGCGUUGCGCAGGCCCCGGGUGCUGGGCGCGCUGCUUCCCUGGUGCACAGGUCCCAGCACACGUGGGGCAGGGCUGGCUUCCGGUUGGACGCCCUUCCGAGCCCUCCCCUUCCCGGGCCGGGCCUAGCGCGGGACGUACCCACGGAGUCUCGGUUGCAGGCGUCCAGCUCCCUCCAGGGCUGCGGCCGGAGCCAGGCUGCCUGGAGGGGUCUGACUGGCAUCGCUGCCCCGCCUGUGUUGGUCUGGUGCCCUCGGCACCUCUGGCACCAGGGUGAGGGCAGGGUUCCCAGAACCAACCAUCCGGAGGCGGCAGCGCUGUGAGCGGGACAGUGGAAGCCUCCCCGUGGGUGUCCCCGUGCCCCUCUGCCUCCCGCAGCCACUCCUGCUCUGCACAGCCACUGUCCGCGGCGCCUGGCCACUCAGGGGCCUCUCCCUGCCGACCCCUCUGCUGCUCAACUUCCUCCGCGGCCUCCCAGGUGCCCCGGAGUCUCCGUCCCCCCGCUUGGCAGGUGCUCCCACACCCCCACCGCCGCGGCGCCUUCUCCCGGCCCCCUCUCCUCUCCUGGCCUCUCUUCCCCACCCGCCUCUCCCCUCGGGCCAAGCAGGGUCAUUUCGCUGAGGGAAACACUGAGGCUCUGAUGGCGGCCAAGACCCGAGCCAGGACCAGUGAAGGCCACAGGCUGUUUCCAGGUGUCUUUCCUCCUGCUCGUGUGUGUCGCCAUGGGCGCUGCCCUGUGGUCCCCAUCUCUGCAGGGGCUUCCAGAGAGAGGUCCUGUUUUUACAGCCCUGGAGUCCAGAUAAGGCCACUUUCCUCAAAGAUACCGGCCUUUGAGACGCUUCCUAAGGACCCGGACUCUUGACAGGGUCCUGUGUUUUCCUGGGACUGUCGACUGUCAUUCCGUUUUCAGGUGUCCCGCUGAGACGCCGCCGGCCGCCGGAAGCCCCUUUGACGGAGAUGCAGGUUUACAGGGAUUUCGAGUCUGGCCUCCCUUAGCAGUGUCACCUGCUCCGUUUCCUUUGGCCUGAAGAAGAUGAUGCUCCGUGUGGAACACAAGCUGAGACGCGGCUCUUCCAUGGGCCUCUGUGCAAACGAAACAGAUUCUGAAACUCAGGCACAGCUUCUUCACACUUUGGGUUUGCAGAACAAAUGUUUGCAUGUAAUUUUGCUUCCUAAAAUGUCAAGAAAAGCACAAAUAUGAAAACAUGUUCUCAAAGGAGUGAUCUUUUAUGAAAAAAAAAUUGCUUACAGUAUUUCUUUCCAGUUGGCUUUGAGAAAUACUGUGUCAAAUUAUUUUCACAAAGUUGCAAAGAGAUUCUUCACUCUUCUGAAGAGGGGUGUCUUCCAGAAGGAGGAGAUUCACCUUGAGGAGGGGGCCCGAAGUCAGGCCACAUCCAGCCUCACCUCCUUAGUGACAGAACAGGUGUGUUUCAGAGGGAAGCACGGCCACCCAGGAUAAAGACUGCACUUCUCAGCCCACCUGCCUGUUUGCUGUGGUCACAUGAUCAAGUUCUGGCAGCAAAUGGAACCCCAGCACAAGGUUUGUGGAACUUCUGGGAAGUGCCCUUAAGGAGAGGGUGCCUUCCUACCGGCUGGAAGGUGAAUGUAAUGGCCGGAGCUACGGCAUCCAUAUUGAGCCAUGAAACAACAUUUGGGAAUGGCAGGCAUGGUAGCAGAGCAAGCAGAGAGAAGAGCCUGAGAAGGACCACGUGGAGGGCGCUCCCGACCCCGAGUCGCUGCCACUGGCCUUCAGGAUGGUGAGAAGAAGUAACCUUCUAUCUUUAAGUUGUAUUGUUCUGGGUCUUUUUGUUACUCGCAAGUGAACUUAAUCCUAAUGAAUAUACAGGCCACUGGGGAUGCUUGGAUUGAAAAAAGCCCAAG